RNAcentral lists this ribosomal RNA (556 nucleotides) under Rhodotorula graminis. RNAcentral's name for it is "eukaryotic LSU rRNA". It matches the Rfam family "Eukaryotic large subunit ribosomal RNA", at positions 89 to 657 of the family's 3401-position model. Lineage: Eukaryota; Fungi; Basidiomycota; Microbotryomycetes; Sporidiobolales; Sporidiobolaceae. The record is from RNAcentral.
GCGAGCGAAGCGGGAAGAGCUCAAAUUUAUAAUCUGGCACCUUCGGUGUCCGAGUUGUAAUCUCUAGAAGUGUUUUCCGCGUUGGACCGCACACAAGUCUGUUGGAAUACAGCGGCAUAGUGGUGAAACCCCCGUAUAUGGUGCGGACGCCCAGCGCUUUGUGAUACACUUUCAAUGAGUCGAGUUGUUUGGGAAUGCAGCUCAAAUUGGGUGGUAAAUUCCAUCUAAAGCUAAAUAUUGGCGAGAGACCGAUAGCGAACAAGUACCGUGAGGGAAAGAUGAAAAGCACUUUGGAAAGAGAGUUAACAGUACGUGAAAUUGUUGGAAGGGAAACGCUUGAAGUCAGACUUGCUUGCCGGAGCUUGCUUCGGUUUGCAGGCCAGCAUCAGUUUUCCGGGGUGGAUAAUGACGGUUUGAAGGUAGCAGUCUCGGCUGUGUUAUAGCUUUCCGUUGGAUACAUCCUGGGGGACUGAGGAACGCAGCGUGCUUUUUGCGAAAGACUCGUCUUUUUCACGCUUAGGAUGCUGGUGGAAUGGCUUUAAACGACCCGUCUUGA